This 490-nucleotide ribosomal RNA is filed under the name uncultured bacterium. Its description in RNAcentral is "partial 16S ribosomal RNA". It matches the Rfam family "Bacterial small subunit ribosomal RNA", at positions 30 to 507 of the family's 1533-position model. The record is from RNAcentral.
AUUGAACGCUGGCGGCAGGCCUAACACAUGCAAGUCGAACGGUAACAGGAAGAAGCUUGCUUCUUUGCUGACGAGUGGCGGACGCGUGUGUAAUGUCUGGGAAACUGCCUGAUGGCGGGGGAUAACUACUGGAAACGGUAGCUAAUACCGCAUAUCGUCGCAACACCAAAGAGGGGGACCUUCGCGCCUCUUGCCCUCGUAUGUGCCCAGAUGGGAUUAGCUAGUAGGUGGGGUAACGGCUCACCUAGGCGACGAUCCCUAGCUGGUCUGAGAGGAUGACCAGCCACACUGGAACUGAGACACGGUCCAGACUCCUUCGGGAGGCAGCAGUGGGGAAUAUUGCACAAUGGGCGCAAGCCUGAUGCAGCCAUGCCGCGUGUAUGAAGAAGGCCUUCGGGUUGUAAAGUACUUUCAGCGGGGAGGAAGGGAGUAAAGUUAAUACCUUUGCUCAUUGACGUUACCCACAGAAGAAGCACCGGCUAACUCCGUG